RNAcentral lists this small nuclear RNA (317 nucleotides) under Colobus angolensis palliatus. Its description in RNAcentral is "7SK RNA (ENSCANG00000012773.1)". It matches the Rfam family "7SK RNA". Rfam says of the family: 7SK was discovered as an abundant small nuclear RNA in the mid-70s but a possible function has only recently been suggested. Two independent studies have found that 7SK RNA binds the CDK9/cyclin T complex (known as elongation factor P-TEFb). Lineage: Eukaryota; Metazoa; Chordata; Mammalia; Primates; Cercopithecidae. The record is from Rfam by way of RNAcentral.
UAAUGUGAGGGCGAUCUGGCUGUGACGUCUGUCACCCCAUCAGUGGUGAGGGUUGAUUCGGCUGACAUGGCUGCCUAAGCUCAUGUCCCCUUCUUCCCUCACUGCUCCACGUGCGUCCCUCCCAAAGAUGUGUCUGGGUCGAAGAAGACGACCUUCCCCGAUAGAGAAGGACCAUUCUUCAGUCAGGGGUAUAUGAGUAGCUCUGAUCCCAGGUAGAACCUCCAAACAAGCUUUAAAUUAUCCCGAAACUAAUAGGCAUACAGCAACAAACACUUAUCAGCUCACAUUUUCUGAGGGUCAAGAAAGUGAGUGUGGCU